CCUACGGGAGGCAGCAGUGAGGAAUAUUGGUCAAUGGACGAGAGUCUGAACCAGCCAAGUAGCGUGAAGGAUGACUGCCCUAUGGGUUGUAAACUUCUUUUAUAUGGGAAUAAAACGUUCCACGUGUGGGAUUUUGUCUGUACCAUAUGAAUAAGGAUCGGCUAACUCCGUGCCAGCAGCCGCGGUAAUACGGAGGAUCCGAGCGUUAUCCGGAUUUAUUGGGUGUAGAGGGAGCGUAGGUGGAUUGUUAAGUCAGUUGUGAAAGUUUGCGGCUCAACCGUAAAAUUGCAGUUGAAACUGGCAGUCUUGAGUACAGUAGAGGUGGGCGGAAUUCGUGGUGUAGCGGUGAAAUGCUUAGAUAUCACGAAGAACUCCGAUUGCGAAGGCAGCUUACUAAACUGCCACUGACAUUGAUGCUCGAAAGUGUGGGUAGCAAACAGGAUUAGAUACCCGAGUAGUC
This 460-nucleotide ribosomal RNA is filed under the name uncultured bacterium. RNAcentral's name for it is "partial 16S ribosomal RNA". It matches the Rfam family "Bacterial small subunit ribosomal RNA", at positions 338 to 795 of the family's 1533-position model. The record is from RNAcentral.